This 84-nucleotide transfer RNA is filed under the name bacterium. RNAcentral's name for it is "tRNA-Leu". It matches the Rfam family "tRNA". From Rfam's summary of the family: Transfer RNA (tRNA) molecules are approximately 80 nucleotides in length. The record is from RNAcentral.
GCCCUCGUGGUGAAAUCGGCAGACACACAGCGUUCAGGUCGCUGCGAGCGCAAGCUCAUAGAGGUUCAAAUCCUCUCGAGGGCA